This 810-nucleotide ribosomal RNA is filed under the name Salmonella enterica. RNAcentral describes it as "partial 23S ribosomal RNA". It matches the Rfam family "Bacterial large subunit ribosomal RNA", at positions 480 to 1190 of the family's 2925-position model. Lineage: Bacteria; Pseudomonadati; Pseudomonadota; Gammaproteobacteria; Enterobacterales; Enterobacteriaceae. The record is from RNAcentral.
CUGACCGAUAGUGAACCAGUACCGUGAGGGAAAGGCGAAAAGAACCCCGGCGAGGGGAGUGAAAAAGAACCUGAAACCGUGUACGUACAAGCAGUGGGAGCCCCACCACUAAGCCAGUGGUGAACUCCACAUCCGCAUCCUUUGCUGAGGAUACGGUUAACGGAGCGAAAGCGACGUUCAACCGCAAAACAAGCAGAGGGGGCUUAGUGGUGGGGUGACUGCGUACCUUUUGUAUAAUGGGUCAGCGACUUAUAUUCUGUAGCAAGGUUAACCGAAUAGGGGAGCCGGAGGGAAACCGAGUCUUAAUUGGGCGUUAAGUUGCAGGGUAUAGACCCGAAACCCGGUGAUCUAGCCAUGGGCAGGUUGAAGGUUGGGUAACACUAACUGGAGGACCGAACCGACUAAUGUUGAAAAAUUAGCGGAUGACCUGUAGCUGGGGGUGAAAGGCCAAUCAAACCGGGAGAUAGCUGGUUCUCCCCGAAAGCUAUUUAGGUAGCGCCUCGUGAAUUCAUCUCCGGGGGUAGAGCACUGUUUCGGCUAGGGGGCCAUCCCGGCUUACCAACCCGAUGCAAACUGCGAAUACCGGAGAAUGUUAUCACGGGAGACACACGGCGGGUGCUAACGUCCGUCGUGAAGAGGGAAACAACCCAGACCGCCAGCUAAGGUCCCAAAGUCAUGGUUAAGUGGGAAACGAUGUGGGAAGGCCCAGACAGCCAGGAUGUUGGCUUAGAAGCAGCCAUCAUUUAAAGAAAGCGUAAUAGCUCACUGGUCGAGUCGGCCUGCGCGGAAGAUGUAACGGGGCUAAACCAU